Molecule: ribosomal RNA, 1345 nt
Filed under: uncultured bacterium
Lineage: Bacteria
Description: bacterial SSU rRNA
Rfam family: Bacterial small subunit ribosomal RNA
Source: RNAcentral
GACGAACGCUGGCGGCGUGCUUAACACAUGCAAGUCGAACGGAAAGGCCCUGCUUUUGUGGGGUGCUCGAGUGGCGAACGGGUGAGUAACACGUGAGUAACCUGCCCUUGACUUUGGGAUAACUUCAGGAAACUGGGGCUAAUACCGGAUAGGAGCUCCUGCUGCAUGGUGGGGGUUGGAAAGUUUCGGCGGUUGGGGAUGGACUCGCGGCUUAUCAGCUUGUUGGUGGGGUAGUGGCUUACCAAGGCUUUGACGGGUAGCCGGCCUGAGAGGGUGACCGGCCACAUUGGGACUGAGAUACGGCCCAGACUCCUACGGGAGGCAGCAGUGGGGAAUAUUGCACAAUGGGCGGAAGCCUGAUGCAGCAACGCCGCGUGCGGGAUGACGGCCUUCGGGUUGUAAACCGCUUUCGCCUGUGACGAAGCGUGAGUGACGGUAAUGGGUAAAGAAGCACCGGCUAACUACGUGCCAGCAGCCGCGGUGAUACGUAGGGUGCGAGCGUUGUCCGGAUUUAUUGGGCGUAAAGGGCUCGUAGGUGGUUGAUCGCGUCGGAAGUGUAAUCUUGGGGCUUAACCCUGAGCGUGCUUUCGAUACGGGUUGACUUGAGGAAGGUAGGGGAGAAUGGAAUUCCUGGUGGAGCGGUGGAAUGCGCAGAUAUCAGGAGGAACACCAGUGGCGAAGGCGGUUCUCUGGGCCUUUCCUGGCGCUGAGGAGCGAAAGCGUGGGGAGCGAACAGGCUUAGAUACCCUGGUAGUCCACGCUGUAAACGGUGGGUACUAGGUGUGGGGUCCAUUCCACGGGUUCCGUGCCGUAGCUAACGCUUUAAGUACCCCGCCUGGGGAGUACGGCCGCAAGGCUAAAACUCAAAGGAAUUGACGGGGCCCCGCACAAGCGGCGGAGCAUGCGGAUUAAUUCGAUGCAACGCGUAGAACCUUACCUGGGUUUGACAUGGAUCGGGAGUGCUCAGAGAUGGGUGUGCCUCUUUUGGGGUCGGUUCACAGGUGGUGCAUGCCUGUCGUCAGCUCGUGUCGUGAGAUGUUGGGUUAAGUCCCGCAACGAGCGCAACCCUUGUUCACUGUUGCCAGCACGUUAUGGUGGGGACUCAGUGGAGACCGCCGGGGUCAACUCGGAGGAAGGUGGGGAUGACGUCAAGUCCUCAUGCCCCUUAUGUCCAGGGCUUCACGCAUGCUACAAUGGCUGGUACAGAGAGUGGCGAGCCUGUGAGGGUGAGCGAAUCUCGGAAAGCCGGUCUCAGUUCGGAUUGGGGUCUGCAACUCGACCUCAUGAAGUCGGAGUCGCUAGUAAUCCCAGAUCAGCAACGCUGCGGUGAAUACGUUCCCGGGGC